Salvia splendens (bonfire salvia) is the source of this 719-nucleotide long non-coding RNA. RefSeq lists it as uncharacterized. The transcript is spliced from 2 exons. NCBI's taxonomy places the organism in Eukaryota, Viridiplantae, Streptophyta, Magnoliopsida, Lamiales, Lamiaceae. The record is from RefSeq and is a predicted model, not a curated record.
GAUUAGGGUUCAACACCUGAAAACAUUUCAUUUGGCUUUUUUUUCUCACUUCCAACCCAGCAACAAGCUUCAAAACCAUACAACCCAAAAUUCACCUGGCCUAAUCUAGUAUAGUCUUUAACGAUAAUAUCACCAAAAUGCAUCAGAAGAGUGCGCAUCGUGGUAGCGGUAGUGAAAGUGGUGGUCAGAGUGGGAGUCGGUCUAAAGGAAAAGGAAAGGUUUCAGACUUCAUCAUUCUUGACGACGAUGACGAUUGGGUAGUUCGGCCCACCGAUGUUGAUUUUUUCGACCCGUAUCGCCAAUAUGGCUCGGCCGACCCAGCAAUCAGACCAUGCUCCGCAGCCUAACCAACAUCAGAACCAGCAGCAGGACCAUGCACGACAGCUGAACCAGCAAUUGGAGCAGCCACACGACCCUCAGCCUUCAAGACGAAGAAAUACAAGCAAGACAAGUGCUUCGACUUCAAGAUCUGUUCCACGGCCACCCCGACAUUCUAGGAGAAGUACAGCACCAAGAUGAGGAAGGAAGAAAGAUUAAACUGAAUAGAAAAGUGAAUGUGUUUUGGCCAUCUUUUGACUUGGAAGGCGUUAUGACUAUGAAUGUGUUUUGUCCAUAUUUUGACUAGGAAGGUGUUUCAUGCUUAGGCACUUGUUUUGUCAUCGUUGCCUAGGAAUGUGAACACCCCCCACAUUGACUUGACUAUAAAUGUGUUUUGCCAA